GCGUGCUUAACACAUGCAAGUCGAACGGAAAGGCCCUUCGGGGUACUCGAGUGGCGAACGGGUGAGUAACACGUGGGUGAUCUGCCCUGCACUUUGGGAUAAGCCUGGGAAACUGGGUCUAAUACCGAAUAGGACCACGCGCUUCAUGGUGUGUGGUGGAAAGCUUUUGCGGUGUGGGAUGGGCCCGCGGCCUAUCAGCUUGUUGGUGGGGUAAUGGCCUACCAAGGCGACGACGGGUAGCCGGCCUGAGAGGGUGACCGGCCACACUGGGACUGAGAUACGGCCCAGACUCCUACGGGAGGCAGCAGUGGGGAAUAUUGCACAAUGGGCGCAAGCCUGAUGCAGCGACGCCGCGUGAGGGAUGACGGCCUUCGGGUUGUAAACCUCUUUCAAUAGGGACGAAGCGCAAGUGACGGUACCUAUAGAAGAAGCACCGGCCAACUACGUGCCAGCAGCCGCGGUAAUACGUAGGGUGCGAGCGUUGUCCGGAAUUACUGGGCGUAAAGAGCUCGUAGGUGGUUUGUCGCGUUGUUCGUGAAAACUCACAGCUUAACUGUGGGCGUGCGGGCGAUACGGGCAGACUAGAGUACUGCAGGGGAGACUGGAAUUCCUGGUGUAGCGGUGGAAUGCGCAGAUAUCAGGAGGAACACCGGUGGCGAAGGCGGGUCUCUGGGCAGUAACUGACGCUGAGGAGCGAAAGCGUGGGGAGCGAACAGGAUUAGAUACCCUGGUAGUCCACGCCGUAAACGGUGGGUACUAGGUGUGGGUUCCUUCCUUGGGAUCCGUGCCGUAGCUAACGCAUUAAGUACCCCGCCUGGGGAGUACGGCCGCAAGGCUAAAACUCAAAGGAAUUGACGGGGGCCCGCACAAGCGGCGGAGCAUGUGGAUUAAUUCGAUGCAACGCGAAGAACCUUACCUGGGUUUGACAUGCACAGGACGCCGGCAGAGAUGUCGGUUCCCUUGUGGCCUGUGUGCAGGUGGUGCAUGGCUGUCGUCAGCUCGUGUCGUGAGAUGUUGGGUUAAGUCCCGCAACGAGCGCAACCCUUGUCCUAUGUUGCCAGCGGGUUAUGCCGGGGACUCGUAGGAGACUGCCGGGGUCAACUCGGAGGAAGGUGGGGAUGACGUCAAGUCAUCAUGCCCCUUAUGUCCAGGGCUUCACACAUGCUACAAUGGCCGGUACAAAGGGCUGCGAUGCCGUGAGGUGGAGCGAAUCCUUUCAAAGCCGGUCUCAGUUCGGAUCGGGGUCUGCAACUCGACCCCGUGAAGUCGGAGUCGCUAGUAAUCGCAGAUCAGCAACGCUGCGGUGAAUACGUUCCCGGGCCUUGUACACACCGCCCGUCACGUCAUGAAAGUCGGUAACACCCGAAGCCGGUGGCCUAACCCUUGUGGAGGGAGCCGUCGAAGGUGGGAUCGGCGAUUGGGACGAAGUCGUAACAAGGUAGCCGUACCGAAG
Molecule: ribosomal RNA, 1453 nt
Filed under: Mycobacterium sp. BPC5
Lineage: Bacteria; Bacillati; Actinomycetota; Actinomycetes; Mycobacteriales; Mycobacteriaceae
Description: bacterial SSU rRNA
Rfam family: Bacterial small subunit ribosomal RNA
Source: RNAcentral